Molecule: microRNA precursor, 78 nt
Organism: Chlorocebus sabaeus (green monkey)
Lineage: Eukaryota; Metazoa; Chordata; Mammalia; Primates; Cercopithecidae
Source: Ensembl
GUGAUUGCCUCUGAUUGGGCAAAGCUGCAGACUGUCUUCCCAAAUAGUCUGCAACUUUGCCUGAUCCGAGACAGUCAC